UUAAAUCUGUUCUCUUAUAUUCCCUCCUGAAAUUCUGAUCUCUGCAGAGAGCAGGGAGACGGAGACGCAAGGAGCGGGUGCCUUUGAAGUAUUGGUGCCACUAUGUUCUCAGCAAUCCUGUGGAAUUCACCAAUUACAAACGGGCUCUUGUACCAUCGGAAGGGGGAUUUGAAAGAUUGAAGCUUAUUUGCAAGACUGAGGCCCUUUCCUCGUUUGACGUUUACAUUGGCACCAGAAUCCCUUGGCAACUGAAAUGUUUUCCCCUGAUCUCACAACACCAGCUUUAUCUCCCUCUCAGACUUUAAGCAGUUUUAUGCCAAUUCUCCAUGUUCCCAAAACCACCCAGAUAAAACCUGAGGCACUAUGUUGUUUAACAGUUCCUUU
Ahaetulla prasina is the source of this 384-nucleotide long non-coding RNA. RefSeq lists it as uncharacterized. NCBI's taxonomy places the organism in Eukaryota, Metazoa, Chordata, Lepidosauria, Squamata, Colubridae. The record is from RefSeq and is a predicted model, not a curated record. The transcript is spliced from 3 exons.